UACGUAGGGGGCAAGCGUUGUUCGGAAUUACUGGGCGUAAAGGGCGCGUAGGCGGCAGGCCAAGUCGGGAGUGAAAGCCCGGGGCUCAACCCCGGAACGGCUCUCGAAACGGGCCAGCUCGAGUGCGGAAGAGGCAACUGGAAUUCCCAGUGUAGCGGUGAAAUGCGUAGAUAUUGGGAAGAACACCGGAGGCGAAGGCGGGUUGCUGGGCCGACACUGACGCUGAGGCGCGAAAGCCAGGGGAGCGAACGGG
Molecule: ribosomal RNA, 253 nt
Filed under: uncultured bacterium
Lineage: Bacteria
Description: partial 16S ribosomal RNA
Rfam family: Bacterial small subunit ribosomal RNA
Source: RNAcentral